UGAAAAACAUCUUGAUGUGGUCUGUGCAGCAAAUAUAAAAAAAUUUCAGCUCCAGAACAUAGGGCAAAGAAAUCAGAGCUCUCUUUGGGCUCUCCUUGUAGGAUUUUUUGCGAAGUUUUGCGGGAUGGUCCCUAGCGAUGUAUCCACUUACACUGGUCAGCCCAAACGAACCUAUGACGAGAUGAAAUCUCACUGCUGGUUUGUCGAAGAUCCAUUUGAUAGAUCUGAUAAUGCAGCUAGAACAGUUGAUGCGCUAGAGCUUGGGCGUAUUGCCAAUGCCUUCACAAACGCUGCUGUCGUAACCUUCUACUCUUAUGAUCCCGACGACCGGAAUGAAUUACUUACGCAGCUGUGUACACCUGAAGUUCGUUCAAAACUAGGUGCAAGACUUUCAACCAGUCCUCAACAGGGCGGAGUCACAGGACCUCUGGAACUAGUGGCAGCUACCCCAUACGAUAAUCAGUAUUGCCAGAGGGCCACAGGAUCCAAAAGGAAGCGGAGGAAUUCAUAGGCCACAUGGGUAACAACAAGUCAUGCAGGUAAGAAGUGAGCAGAGCACAUCUGCAUAUAAAAUCUCCACAAGCAGAACUCACGCGUAGAUCUUUUGAACAUCCUAUCAUCUUAAGCUUCCCCAAUCAGUACAUGUAACAGAUAGUCCCAGGACAUCUUUUGAUCAAAACUCGUGGACCAACUAUGUUUAGUUU
Molecule: long non-coding RNA, 704 nt
Organism: Triticum dicoccoides
Lineage: Eukaryota; Viridiplantae; Streptophyta; Magnoliopsida; Poales; Poaceae
Exons: 3
Source: RefSeq, a predicted model, not a curated record